This 52-nucleotide transfer RNA is filed under the name Caenorhabditis japonica. It matches the Rfam family "tRNA", at positions 1 to 53 of the family's 71-position model. Rfam says of the family: Transfer RNA (tRNA) molecules are approximately 80 nucleotides in length. Their secondary structure includes four short double-helical elements and three loops (D, anti-codon, and T loops). Further hydrogen bonds mediate the characteristic L-shaped molecular structure. tRNAs have two regions of fundamental functional importance: the anti-codon, which is responsible for specific mRNA codon recognition, and the 3' end, to which the tRNAs corresponding amino acid is attached (by aminoacyl-tRNA synthetases). tRNAs cope with the degeneracy of the genetic code in two manners: having more than one tRNA (with a specific anti-codon) for a particular amino acid; and 'wobble' base-pairing, i.e. permitting non-standard base-pairing at the 3rd anti-codon position. Lineage: Eukaryota; Metazoa; Nematoda; Chromadorea; Rhabditida; Rhabditidae. The record is from Rfam by way of RNAcentral.
GCCCGUAUAGCUCAGUGGCAGAGCGUCUGUCUCGCAAACAGAAGCACAGGUG